GAUGAACGCUGGCGGCGUGCCUAAUACAUGCAAGUCGAGCGAACAGAUAAGGAGCUUGCUCCUUUGACGUUAGCGGCGGACGGGUGAGUAACACGUGGGUAACCUACCUAUAAGGCUGGAAUAACUCCGGGAAACCGGGGCUAAUGCCGGAUAACAUUUAGAACCGCAUGGUUCUAAAGUGAAAGAUGGUUUUGCUAUCACUUAUAGAUGGACCCGCGCCGUAUUAGCUAGUUGGUAAGGUAACGGCUUACCAAGGCAACGAUACGUAGCCGACCUGAGAGGGUGAUCGGCCACACUGGAACUGAGACACGGUCCAGACUCCUACGGGAGGCAGCAGUAGGGAAUCUUCCGCAAUGGGCGAAAGCCUGACGGAGCAACGCCGCGUGAGUGAUGAAGGUCUUCGGAUCGUAAAGCUCUGUUAUUAGGGAAGAACAAAUGUGUAAGUAACUGUGCACGUCUUGACGGUACCUAAUCAGAAAGCCACGGCUAACUACGUG
This 497-nucleotide ribosomal RNA is filed under the name uncultured bacterium. Its description in RNAcentral is "partial 16S ribosomal RNA". It matches the Rfam family "Bacterial small subunit ribosomal RNA", at positions 28 to 507 of the family's 1533-position model. The record is from RNAcentral.